Cucumis melo (muskmelon) is the source of this 1110-nucleotide RNA transcript. It is a transcript of the gene named U11/U12 small nuclear ribonucleoprotein 25 kDa protein-like, with no coding region annotated. The record is from RefSeq and is a predicted model, not a curated record. NCBI's taxonomy places the organism in Eukaryota, Viridiplantae, Streptophyta, Magnoliopsida, Cucurbitales, Cucurbitaceae. The transcript is spliced from 5 exons.
UUCCCUAUUUUUCCAAACCCUAAACACUCUGCUCUUCAAACAUUUCAUUACUUUAAUCUCAAAUCCUCCAUUAUUAUUAUUCCUCAAUAAUCAAUCUCUUCAUAUAUAUGUUCUUCAUGUCUCAAAUUGAACCCAUUGUCCCCGAUUCUUGCUGUAUCUCCCCUCGCUUUCAUACCAACAGUUUUCGCCGCUCUCUUCGCUACAAUCGCCUUCCGCCCCAGCUCCUCCGCCUCUCCGUCUUGAAAUUGGACGGCUCUUCUUUCGAGGUGCAAGUUGAAAGGACGGCGACGGUGGCCGCGGUUAGAGAUGCGGUGGAGAGUGUUUUCUGUGAAAUGUCGAUGAAUAAAGAAGAUUUCAAUAUUUCUUGGCCACAUGUGUGGGGUCAUUUUUGCUUAUGCUAUAAACAUUUCAAGCUCAUGGACGACAAAUCUCGUAUUCAACAUUUUGGAAUUCGUGAUGGUGACCAGACACAUUACAAAUGAUUCAACAAAUGGAAUCCCUGUACAACUACAUUCAUUUUCAUUAUGGACUAGCAAAGCUGCAUUUUGUGGAAUUGAGAUGUCCCGUAGAAGAAUAAAUAGAUAUGUAGAAAGAAAUAUAGAAAGGUUGAAGAGAUGAACGGCUUCUGGUAUAAAGUGGUCAGAAGGUUUUGGGCGUGAAUUAUUAUUAUAAAUUUGGUCUAAUGAUGGAUCUUUUUUCUUCUAUUUUUCCCGACACCUAACAAGACGACGGUCAUGUUUGGAUUGAUUUUCUAAGUAUUUAUAAGUACAAAGAAAUGUUUACAAAUGGAUAGAAAGUUAAUCCAAACGGAUCCUUCGUUUCUGUGAUUCAACACUGUACUGUACUGUUUCAAUUCAGAAAUAUGAUUCAUUAGAAGAUGAGUCUCGAAUGUAGUUAAAUUGCUUUAAGAGAAAAACAGAAGACAGAAUGGCGAUCAUACUCUUCUUUGAUUUUUGAUCUCAGAUGGUGAACCCCAUCGCCUUGUCUAACUAACUUGGUGCAUGUUAGGAACUAUUUGGUUUGAAAUGGUUUUCUAAGAGUAUGUUUGGUUAUCUAUUUGUUUUCUGUUUUUCAUUUUCUAAAAUUAAUUUUAAAAAAGGUGUUUGUAAA